RNAcentral lists this ribosomal RNA (700 nucleotides) under uncultured bacterium. Its description in RNAcentral is "bacterial SSU rRNA". It matches the Rfam family "Bacterial small subunit ribosomal RNA", at positions 1 to 692 of the family's 1533-position model. The record is from RNAcentral.
GAUUGAGUUUGAUCCUGGCUCAAGAUGAACGCUGGCGGCGUGCUUAACACAUGCAAGUCGAACGGAGAUAUCAUUUUCGAAGCGAUUAGUUUACUAAGAGCGGAGAUGUUGGUAUCUUAGUGGCGGACGGGUGAGUAACGCGUGGGUAACCUGCCUUACACUGGGGGAUAACACUUAGAAAUAGGUGCUAAUACCGCAUAACAGGAGAAGAUGCAUGUCUUUUCCUUAAAAACUCCGGUGGUGUAAGAUGGACCCGCGUCUGAUUAGCUGGUUGGCGGGGUAACGGCCCACCAAGGCGACGAUCAGUAGCCGGCCUGAGAGGGUGAACGGCCACAUUGGGACUGAGACACGGCCCAAACUCCUACGGGAGGCAGCAGUGGGGAAUAUUGGACAAUGGGGGGAACCCUGAUCCAGCGACGCCGCGUGAGUGAAGAAGUAUUUCGGUAUGUAAAGCUCUAUCAGCAGGGAAGAAAGAAAUGACGGUACCUGACUAAGAAGCCCCGGCUAACUACGUGCCAGCAGCCGCGGUAAUACGUAGGGGGCAAGCGUUAUCCGGAUUUACUGGGUGUAAAGGGAGCGUAGACGGCGAUGCAAGUCUGAAGUGAAAGGCGGGGGCCCAACCCCCGGACUGCUUUGGAAACUGUAUAGCUGGAGUGCANGAGAGGGUAGUGGAAUUCCUAGUGUAGCGGUGAAAUGCGUA